CAACCAUCAAGCCCUGCUUGUGUUGGGGUCCUGCGGCUGUCCGCAGGCCCUUAAAACCAGUGGCGGGCUCGCCUACACUCCGAGCGCAGUAAUACAUCUCGUUCUGGUCGUGUGGUGGGUUCCAGCCGUUAAACACCCCCCUUUCGUAA
This 149-nucleotide unclassified non-coding RNA is filed under the name Zopfiella attenuata. RNAcentral's name for it is "partial internal transcribed spacer 2". The record is from RNAcentral. Lineage: Eukaryota; Fungi; Ascomycota; Sordariomycetes; Sordariales; Chaetomiaceae.